UUGCUGAGGAGUCGUUGGUUUUAUUUUUAUUUUUAUGUUUGUAUCGGUGUAAAUACAGGGCAUUCAGCCACAAGCAUUGCAAGUAAAGCCUGAAAACAGCAGCUAUUUCAAUAGGAGGUUUGAAAUAAUAUGGUUCUUAUAUUGCCAUGGAGACAACUGGUCCUCAUGUUCAGUGUGACUGAAUGCAUGUUUUAAAAAGCUUGAAAUACAGAAAGAUGUGAUACAGACGUCUCAUCUGUCCUUUGCUUCCUCCUUCUUGUCUUUCUCUGGUAGAAGUACAGUUACAACACGUGUUUGAUCUAGCAUGACAGAGGAGAUUGGGUACAAAACAGAUGCAUAGCUAUACAUGUUUGGAUUCUGUUGCAUUAUUUCCCACCAUGUGGGACCCCAAGUUAGGUAACCAAAGACUAAUAAGUUGGAAUGGAAAGAUUACCAAACCCAAGCAGAGCACAUGAAGCAUAUUACUACUGGAUUUCAUUGCCCACAUUUAGUGAGAAGGAAAUUACAGCAAAAGCAAGCGUUUCUGAAAACAGAAAGUAUCAUGUUGGAAGUAUAUACAACACUGGGAGAGAACUGCCCUUUGAAUAGAAAGCACAAUUCUUCCUCACUGAGGGGGCAUUAACUUAAUGUCUGUGUGAACAACAAACUUGGUAGCUGAUGAAAACUAUUAUGACCGUUUUGCGCUUUCCGUAGGUUUUUAAUUACAGCCUGAACUGAGUAGGAAUUAAUUUUGAGAGAAGCAAAAAACCUUGCAAAUACCUUCUCCCUUUGCACUUCCUUCCCUGGCCCAACUCCUCCCUGCCACUCACAAGUAAAGCUGGCCGAGUUAAUGCCAACGCCUUGUGACAUUUCUUGCCGAAGUUCUGACCAGUUGAUCUAACAACAGCUGCCCUUUCCCAGGCCUUUAGAGCCUGGAUUUUGAAAGGUUGAUGUAUGCAGAUGCAAGUUCUAAAGAACAACCACCUAAGAACUUGUGAAUUAUUUCCACUUAAAGAAAGCCAAGAUGUUUAAAAGUGACUAGCAGUUUUGUGGGCAUCUGUUGUUAGCUCUUUAAAGCGACCAGAAGUUGCUUCAUAGAAAGGCCCCUUCACAGCAUAUCCACCACCAAAAAGGAACUUCUGCUAACAUCCCCCCUGGCUGAGGUACGUUUUGUCAGAGGAGCUAGGAGGAUCUAACUGUGAAACCAUGACUCUCCCAGAUUGGCUGUAACAGGUUUAUCUAUGCCUUUAACAGAAGCUUGAGUUUCAUUUUCUCCCCUUGUUUCAUGGCACAGCACUUUUAAGUAAAUACUUGUUUGAAGAAGCAGACGGUGAAAGCAAUUGGCUCUCUUUCCAUAACUACACAUACCAGACAGCUCUGGGGUUUUCACAGAAAGCCACUGCGUAUGCUACUUAAGAGAUAAAAUAAGGGACUUGUCAAAUGCAAUACAUGCCUGAAUCACACAGAGGAUUUAAAUGUAUGUGUGCAGGGGCAGGAGACAGUGAGAGGAAGGUACAGGACAAUCUUGCUGCUGCCCUGGCAUAAGACUCCUUCGGUAACAGGGGCUCAGCUUCCAGGAGAAGCCUGUUAAGAAGUCUGAAUGAAUAUUCUGGUUAGUUCUUGUGUAACUACCAAGAAAGCAGGACCCUGCCAGUACUUCAAAUACUCUAAGACCUGCCCAGGACACAUAAAACAGGGUAAAAUGUUAGGAAGGUUGUAUGGUAAAAUAUGGGAUAGGCAUUACAAUCCCCUGCCAAGUUUAAUAUGAAAACAGAAAGGCACCUACAGAGGACCGUGUGGAAGACAGGUAGACAGAAAAAUCUUGGAAACUGUGCCUACAGCCUUUUGUGCAAGGUAGAAAUGGAAGAUAAAAGAAUGGAUCAAGAUAGAAAAUGCACAGAUGAGAAAUAUGGGAAAAGAGGUAAAUGCUUCUAACCAUGUUAAAGACAAGGUCCUAAUGAAGUUUGGGUUAGGCGAGUUGGGAAGUUAAGAGGGGGCUCUCAAAGUAGAGGUGGAAAAACAAUGUACAAUGUUACGACUCAUUUGCAAGUGAGCAAGGUGGUGGGAAAUGGGUAUUUAUAGAAAAAUCAAAGAUAACUGGGAAAUACUGAAUAGUAAACAUAAUUCAAAAGGGUUCAGUGAUGCUUUGCUGAGGACAGCAUUCAGUAAUGAGGUUCACAGGUAUGGGAAACAGGAGAGAAACUAGGAUUUCCAGAGGUUCCCAAAUGAAGACAGAAAUGGCCUUCACUUUGCAAUUCAAAGUCUGAAAUCAGGUUGUUAAGAUCCAUGGAAGAGACAAAUUAGGUGAAGUUCCUAAACACGUUAAUUAUAAUUUAUUAUAUUCUAUUCCCUAUCUAAUAAACCCAAGGUAUUUUAUUCCUCUAAAGCCUUUUUGUUUUAUGUGCUGAGGAAUUCAAAAAUAGUACUACUAAAAAUUUAACCACCAAUAAAUUUAAAUAAUAUGCCAAAAAAAUCACACACAAAAAAACAAUAGUGAAUGAAAAAGCAUCAGGUUUGAGUUUCACUUGCUUUAAGAGGAAUUUUCAUAGUGGUCAUGAAUAAAGCUUUAAUUUUGAUUCAUGCCAAUAAAACCUUUAUGAUUUUACAAAGUUUGUUACAUUUACUUAUUUACCUACUGAAGCCGAUAGCAAACCUCCACUAAUUUCGAUAUGAAACAUAUGAAUAUGCUGAUGCGCAUACGAAACAUAUAACCAUAUGCUGAUGCAUUAUAUUCCCAUGCCUAUGUUGUAAUGACAUUGCUACAUUUUCAGAAGUCUAUUAUCACGACUCCAUCACUUCUAUUACUUCCAUCUUUCAGUUCAUUUUAUUCCUCCAUUUCACUGUGGAGCCUGGUUUACUUUUUUUUUUUUUUUUUUUUUUUUUUAAUUCCUCCCUCCUGUUCAUGACCUGUGUUUUUUCAGCUCCCUCUCUUUGCCAUCUUCUCAGAUGGAGAUCCUCUACCCUAUCUUAUUUUCCCAUGCCUACAUUCUUAAACCACUGCAGAUCUGUGGGUAUGCCCUUAUCACUUCAGUUUCCAAGCCUUCAUUUCCAGGGUUCUGUGACUGAGUCUUGAAACUCCCCCAGCAGCUUUGAACACCACAUAUGCAUUACAUUUUACAAAAUACCAAAAUCCCAAGGCUGAAAAUACUGCCUCUAAGUCUAAAUACAAUAAGUUGAGGAAAAAAAAAAAAAAAAUGCAAUUUUGCUUUUUAUGAAAGGCAAGCCAAGGUCAGGCAAUCAGAUAAAAACACAGCCACGACACCAGAAGCUUAAUAAAUUCUGUAUGUCUUUGCUAGAACCUUUCCCAUCUUUGCUAACUGCCAAGAUACUCAUCUGCAGCUAGAAGCAUUCCCAUCUCCAAUCAGUUUACAUCUGUUUAGUAGCAAAUAUACUUCUGCAGUCUGGAUACAAUAAUCUGUUUCCUGCAGACCUUCAUAACUGCUAGAGAGGAGCCGGAACCUAACCUAAAAAAAAAAAAAA
This is a long non-coding RNA of Oxyura jamaicensis (ruddy duck), 3459 nucleotides long. RefSeq lists it as uncharacterized. NCBI's taxonomy places the organism in Eukaryota, Metazoa, Chordata, Aves, Anseriformes, Anatidae. The record is from RefSeq and is a predicted model, not a curated record. The transcript is spliced from 2 exons.